This 491-nucleotide ribosomal RNA is filed under the name uncultured bacterium. RNAcentral's name for it is "bacterial SSU rRNA". It matches the Rfam family "Bacterial small subunit ribosomal RNA", at positions 30 to 513 of the family's 1533-position model. The record is from RNAcentral.
AUUGAACGCUGGCGGCAUGCCUUACACAUGCAAGUCGAACGGCAGCACGGGAGCAAUCCUGGUGGCGAGUGGCGAACGGGUGAGUAAUAUAUCGGAACGUGCCCGGUCGUGGGGGAUAACGUAGCGAAAGCUACGCUAAUACCGCAUACGAUCUACGGAUGAAAGCGGGGGAUCGCAAGACCUCGCGCGAUUGGAGCGGCCGAUAUCAGAUUAGGUAGUUGGUGAGGUAAAGGCUCACCAAGCCGACGAUCUGUAGCUGGUCUGAGAGGACGACCAGCCACACUGGAACUGAGACACGGUCCAGACUCCUACGGGAGGCAGCAGUGGGGAAUUUUGGGACAAUGGACGCAAGUCUGAUCCAGCCAUUCCGCGUGCAGGAUGAAGGCCCUCGGGUUGUAAACUGCUUUUGUACGGAACGAAAAGGUUUCUCUUAAUACGAGGAGCUCAUGACGGUACCGUAAGAAUAAGCACCGGCUAACUACGUGCCAGCA